This 83-nucleotide transfer RNA is filed under the name Candidatus Kentrum sp. FW. Its description in RNAcentral is "Candidatus Kentron sp. FW tRNA_Leu_TAG". It matches the Rfam family "tRNA". From Rfam's summary of the family: Transfer RNA (tRNA) molecules are approximately 80 nucleotides in length. Lineage: Bacteria; Pseudomonadati; Pseudomonadota; Gammaproteobacteria. The record is from RNAcentral.
GCGAAAGUGGCGGAAUUCGGUAGACGCGCUGGCUUUAGGUGCCAGUGGGGGAACCCGUGAGAGUUCGAGUCUCUCCUUUCGCA